GGGAGGAGCAGGCGGGCAGGUGGAGAAGCCCGGAGAGGUCGAGGGCGGCCGGAUCCUGCGUUGUGAGGCGUCCACCGAGUUAGCUGGCGACCAGUAGUUGUUCUUUCAAUAUGGUGAAGUGGAAAAGCCUUGAGCUUAACCUCUUCUCAUGGACACACCAAAAUCACAACUAACUGCUGGACAGCCAUCGAUAAAGAAGGCCGGAACCUGCCAAAACAGAUCGUCUACAUCUGAAGGCAUAAAGAAGUGGCAACAAGAUGUUAUGAGGGGUGUACCUGCAAGAUAAUCAACCCCUUGUCAGCUAAAGGGAGCUGCCUGGCCUAUGGUUAUGCCCCCUGCAUCCAAUGAGUGGUCAGUGUGGGGGAGUGUGAAGGUCUCACCCCCUGGGUUGGACCCACACACUGGAGAAUAAUUAUAUUACAGACGCUCUCCCACAGGAGUGAGAGUCCUUUUCCUAACCCGAGGGUCUGGCAUUGGGAAGAGGAGCUCCCCAGAGCAUUAGGAUAUGAAGGCCAGCAGGGCUUAAUUGCAGGAGCGCCACAGGGCCGGGGGAGACAGACUUAACUCUUAAAGGGAUUGCACAAAAUCUCAUGUGCAAGGGGAUUGAGGACAAAAGCAGUGAUCUCAUAGGAGCCUAGAGCAGACCUCCCUGCUGGUCUUGGAAGGUCUCAUGGGGUGGUGGGGCGCAGCUGUGGCUCCUGCUGGGGUCCAAAAGCUGGUGGCAGAUAUUUGGGGGGUUAUUCUGCAUGAACUCUCCUUGAGGCAGGCAUCUUGCUUGGGUCCUUAGCAGCAACACCUGGCCCCACUCAGCAGCCUGUAGGCUUCAGAGCCGGAUGCCUCAGGCCAGACAACUAACCUGGCAGGAACACGGCUCCGCCUGUUAGCAGACAGGUUGCCGAAAGACUUCCUGAUCCCACAGUCACCUCUGGACGCAACCCUAGACACCAUCCUGCCUACCAGAGGGCCAGGACCCAGCUCCACCCACCCAUUAGCAGGCAUCAGCUCUUUCCACUAGGAAGCCUACACAAGCUUCUAGACCAGCCUCUCACCCACCAGGGAGCAGAAACUAGAAGGAAGAAAGCUACAAUCCAGCAGCCUGUAGUCUGCAAAUGCAGGCUAGACACUGCCCUGGGACCGCUGGCCCUGGCCCUUGGGUGAUGAGAGAGGAGGGCACUUCUGGGACCCAUAGGACCUCUCCUACUGAAGGCUGCUUCUCCAGAGUUGAGAAACACAAUUAACCCAAAA
Molecule: long non-coding RNA, 1245 nt
Organism: Bubalus bubalis (water buffalo)
Lineage: Eukaryota; Metazoa; Chordata; Mammalia; Artiodactyla; Bovidae
Exons: 2
Source: RefSeq, a predicted model, not a curated record